This 558-nucleotide ribosomal RNA is filed under the name Hanseniaspora uvarum. RNAcentral's name for it is "eukaryotic LSU rRNA". It matches the Rfam family "Eukaryotic large subunit ribosomal RNA", at positions 50 to 610 of the family's 3401-position model. Lineage: Eukaryota; Fungi; Ascomycota; Saccharomycetes; Saccharomycodales; Saccharomycodaceae. The record is from RNAcentral.
GCGGAGGAAAAGAAACCAACUGGGAUUACCUUAGUAACGGCGAGUGAAGCGGUAAAAGCUCAAAUUUGAAAUCUGGUACUUUCAGUGCCCGAGUUGUAAUUUGUAGAAUUUGUCUUUGAUUAGGUCCUUGUCUAUGUUCCUUGGAACAGGACGUCAUAGAGGGUGAGAAUCCCGUUUGGCGAGGAUACCUUUUCUCUGUAAGACUUUUUCGAAGAGUCGAGUUGUUUGGGAAUGCAGCUCAAAGUGGGUGGUAAAUUCCAUCUAAAGCUAAAUAUUGGCGAGAGACCGAUAGCGAACAAGUACAGUGAUGGAAAGAUGAAAAGAACUUUGAAAAGAGAGUGAAAAAGUACGUGAAAUUGUUGAAAGGGAAGGGCAUUUGAUCAGACAUGGUGUUUUUUGCAUGCACUCGCCUCUCGUGGGCUUGGGCCUCUCAAAAAUUUCACUGGGCCAACAUCAAUUCUGGCAGCAGGAUAAAUCAUUAAGAAUGUAGCUACUUCGGUAGUGUUAUAGCUUUUUGGAAUACUGUUAGCCGGGAUUGAGGACUGCGCUCGGCAAGGA